GUGCUCACUUUGGCAGAACAUAUACUAAAUUUGGAAUGAUACAGAGAAGAUUAGCAUGGCCCCUGGGCAAGGAUGACAAGCAGAUUCAUGAAGCUUUUAAAAAAAUC
This is a small nuclear RNA of Mesocricetus auratus (golden hamster), 107 nucleotides long. The record is from RefSeq and is a predicted model, not a curated record. NCBI's taxonomy places the organism in Eukaryota, Metazoa, Chordata, Mammalia, Rodentia, Cricetidae.